RNAcentral lists this ribosomal RNA (253 nucleotides) under uncultured bacterium. Its description in RNAcentral is "partial 16S ribosomal RNA". It matches the Rfam family "Bacterial small subunit ribosomal RNA", at positions 524 to 776 of the family's 1533-position model. The record is from RNAcentral.
UACGUAAGGUCCGAGCGUUGUCCGGAAUUACUGGGCGUAAAGCGCGCGCAGGCGGCCCGCGAGGUGUCACGUGAAAGCCCCGGGCUCAACCCGGGAGGGUCGUGGCAAACCGGCGGGCUUGAGGCCGGUAGAGGUGGGUGGAACUCCUGGUGGAGUGGUGAAAUGCGUAGAGAUCAGGAAGAACACCCGUGGCGAAGGCGGCCCACUGGGCCGGUACUGACGCUGAGGCGCGACAGCGUGGGGAGCAAACAGG